Long non-coding RNA from Mirounga angustirostris (Northern elephant seal), 3282 nucleotides. RefSeq lists it as uncharacterized. The transcript is spliced from 5 exons. Lineage: Eukaryota; Metazoa; Chordata; Mammalia; Carnivora; Phocidae. The record is from RefSeq and is a predicted model, not a curated record.
CGGCGAGAGGGCGUGGACUGUUCGCUCCGCCUUCGCGGGCUCCGGAACCGGGAAGGAGGAGAGCGCCUGCCCCGCGGCCAACCGGGCCUUGCACCCAGACUUUAAAUUCCGGAGAUGUCACCCAGAGGAUCAUGGCUUUACUUUGUUUUAAAGUCAGCUGGGAGGCCAAAAGAAGAUAUAUUACCUAGUCGUAGAAACCGCCGCCGCUGCGGAGAAGCAGCUUAGCCUAGGAAAAUAUACUAGGUAUGAUUUCAAAAAGAAGAAGGAGAAGGAGAAGGAGGAGGAGGAGGAGGAGGAGGAAGAGGAGAAGAAGAAGAAGAAGAAGAAGAAGAAGAAGAAGAAGAAGAAGAAGAAGAAGAAGAAGAAGAAGAAGAAAGAAGAAGAAGAAGAAGGAGAAAGAAGAAGAAGGAGAAAGAAGAAGGAGAAAGAAGAAGAAGGAGAAAGAAGAAGGAGAAAGAAGAAGAAGGAGAAAGAAGAAGAAGGAGAAAGAAGAAGAAGGAGAAAGAAGAAGAAGGAGAAAGAAGAAGGAGAAAGAAGAAAGAAGAAGAAGGAGAAAGAAGAAGAAGGAGAAAGAAGAAGAAGGAGAAGAAGAAGAAAAUACAGCUCUAUGAUUAAUAAUAAUCGCACGUUCUGCGCCGACAAAGAACGCCUCUCUUCUGCCCUGUGUUCUGUAAGACCAUCCUUCAUGAAAGCAAUUCUAGGAUAAGUGCACUUUGCUUUAGACACCCUGAGACACCGGACUCUCCUUGGUAUCCACCACCUGCGUCGCAACUUCAUCCACACAGCGGAAAGCAGAGUGCAGAAGGUUUGCCUUCGACUCCAUCCAAAAGGAUUCACUCAAAAGCCACAGCAUACGGAUCAGAAACAGCGAUGAAGUAGCCCUGCUUGCUGAGUUCAUCCACUGCCACUUUUUCAAGGCUCCAUUGAAAGACCUGGGUUCUUGGUGCACAGAGAUGCGUUUCUAGGCUACAGGAUUCACCUGGAAGUUUUUGCAAAUUGUUGGAACUCCCCCCAAAUUUUUCCAAUGUACUUAUGGAAAAAAAAAUCCACGUGUAAGUGGACUGCAGUUCAAGCCCAUGUCGUUCACAGGUCAAGUGUACUUGGCUGAGGAAUCUGCAAAUGAGCAACUGUGAAUGAACUGUACAGAGACAGCAAGAAUCCCAGCGGAGAAAGCCAAUCUUCUGGGCAGCGGCUGGCUGGCACCCGGGCAAGGCAGCUGGUGUGAGAUCACCGCGCAUCGGGCCACGUACAGCUUCUCAGCGCCGGCACAUCUGGUCCGUGGCCAACAUCCGAGAGGUGCCAGCAAUGCUAAGAAACCUCUGCGGAAAAGAGCCUCAAACCCACUGAUCUUGAAAAGAGGAGAAAAAAGAAAGGCUUCACGUUGAAGACAGAACUACAAACGUAAAGGCAACCGGUUUGCCUACCGACAUCACAGUGGAGGCCUUUAUACAGCUUCUAACUUGGCAUGAUUAUGAAUUCCCCGGACAGAAUUUAUGGUCAAGUUUUACAAAGAUAAACCAAGGGAAUCUUAAAGCAGAUGGGCUUUGCAGUUAUUUGAAGAGGGACUCUGGAAUGUGCAAUAAUGCUUUUGGAUGAAGAUCAAAUUAGAAGCUAGAAAUCGCAUAGUGAGGGAGCUCAGUUUCAACGGGAGGGGAAGAGGGGGCAUCAGCAAGGAAGAGGUGCGAGGACCACAGGUAGGGGCUGGCUCUGUAAUAAAAGCAGUUGGACUGUUGGAAUGCUUGUGGAAUGCCCCAAGGGGGAGUGCUCAUCACCAAAAUGUUUCAUCCCAUGGAUUUUGAGCUGGUGCUGAUCAAGGUCAGAGAAAACCUUGGAGACUGUUCAAAGCUUGGGCCAGUCACGAAGCUCCUUCUCUUGGAGAGACACCCAGAUGUCUUGAGGAAACUAUCUGUGUACUCAAACCUUCGAUGGAAGGUGUUUGGUGGCCAUCGAUUCCCUGUCAAAACAUGGGAUGGGACUACAGAUAGCCAGGCUGAGAAGACCCCAAGAGUGAGGGAGGAACGGCUGAGAGAAGGGAAGUCUUUCUUCAGUGUCCCGAGGCCAAUGGAGGUGUUCUGUGUUCAACUUCCAUCUUUGCUCCAAAAGGCGAGGCUUUCUAAAGUAAGGCAUUUCCAGAGCACUCGAGCACAUCUAGGAUGAAUGCUCUAGAAGCCACAACUAACAUGGCAUGUAAAGAAUCUAGACGUGGAAAGAUAUUCAAAAAAUGAGAAGAUGGGGAGAUUUUGAAGAUGCUUCUGAAAAAAAUGCUAAAGAACAUGGUCCCAAAAGAAUCUGAAGAAGGCAGUUCCAAAAGUGAUGAGAACAGUCUCGAAAUACCUCAAAAAAGACUCCGAAGAAAAUGGCUUUGAAAAAAGUCUGAAGGUGACCCUGAAAAUCUGAAAAGGAAGACGUCUUGAAAAGAGAAUCGGAGGAUUGCUCUGAAAAGGACUUUGAAGAGGGCUCCAAAAAAAUAACUAGAGGAAAACGGUGUUGAGAAAAAAGAGGAAGGAACGGUCCUGAAAGCUGAGCAUCUGGGGAUGGCGGCUCUGAGGGAGUGUCUGGUGGGGAAGGCCGUGGGGAUUCAGAUGAGGAGGAAGGAGAUGCACACAGGGAAGUGUGUGAUGAUGCAGCAGGUAGAAAACAGGAGAAAGAAGAGGCAGAUGGAAAAGGGUUUGGAGAUGCUGAGGAAGAGGGAGGCGGCGGCGGAGCAGGGGACAGGCUGCUCAAGGAUGAGGGUGCCAGCUCGAAGGAGUGUGAUGAGCAGAGUCCGGGGACAAGCUGUGCGGCCAGUCCGACAAGGGGACUAUGGGUGGCACUGGGGACGUUAAGGAAGGACGGCCCCUGUGCACAGGCAGUGGCUCCAUCCUCGGAAGUGAUGGGGAGGAGGAGGAGGAGAUUUAAUCUCUUAAACCUGAUUUCAGGGAGACCCCCUCCUGCUACAGGCACCUUCACUCAGGGUAAUUAUUAGUAGUGUCACGUGAACGCAUCAGAGUGGCGCUGGGAGACUUUCACGGUAACCCCCAUGCAGUGACUUUACAAAUGGGUUAACUUCAAAGCCAUCAUGCAUGCACGUACAAAAAAAAAAAAAAAAAAAGAGAGAGAGAUGGAAGAAAAAAGUCCAAACACAGCACUACAACAGUGGCUAUCAAAUAUUCAACCUUCCUACGAAAAAACAGGAAUUCCCAAGUUGAGUUAUGAAAUAAAACAAAAGGAAAAAACUAUGCCACGCCAGGAGGACUGUUUGAGAACAAGAUACCCACAAAGGUUGAACAUAGGGAGAUGGAA